UUAGCUUAUUAAAAGGGAUCCAAGGCAGGGACGUUUUAAAAAAGAAAGAAAAGCUGCGUGGGACGUUUUAAAAAGAUAACGAGGCGUCUAAAAGUAAAGCAAAGUGUGUAGGGGGACUAAGGACGCGGAACACGGGACGGGGGGAGCUUUCGAACAUGCGUGCGGACUAAGGGCCUCUUUGUUAAUAGGGCGCGGGCACGCUUCGAUUGGUUAGUUACUUGAUUAGUAGCUUCGGACGUCCGUUAAAUUGUUUCGGUUCGUCAUGCCGCCGGUCGCGCGAGGCGGUGACGGGUGACCGGUGUCGUGCCGCGAGAGCGCAUGAUAAUAUAACGAGAAAGGCAGCGAGGCGGGCUCAUAAAAGGAGAGGAGCCCUCGACGAGGUAAGCCGGGAGGAGGGAGGGAGGGUAGGAGCGGCAGCUGGGCGGCUACGGGGGGCCCGCCGCCGCGGCCUCCGCCCCCGUGGUCACUGACUGGCCCGGCGCCUGCUACCGCCGCGGCCUCCCGAGACCGCGGCCGCCGCCCCUCCCCCGCUCCCCGUCGUUCCACUUGGUCCUCGACACCAUGCGCACGCGCCCCGGCGACCACCGCGACGGCGGCGGCCCCUCGGAGCACCAGAUGAAGGGCGUCCCUGUGUCGCUCGUCCACCGUCGUAGAUACGCUUUCCUACGUCUGCGCGUCUAAGGUUCGAUAGGUUUAGAAGGUAGUUUCGACUAUACGUAGGAGGUGUCGCAGUGAUACGUCAGACUAGGACUGUGCCUACUUCAAAUACGAGCCUACUGAGAGGUCGGUCAAUCGUUACACUGUGUCACACUGUUCCUCUAUAACGACCGCAGUCUCGAACGGGACUUUGUUUUGUUCGGUGUUUGUCUUAAGAAGACGUUUUGUAACUGGCGCUCACUAUGCUCGUGAGUACCUCCUAAGAGGCACGGUGCCGCACGACGUCUCUCCUAAAAGGGAGCAGAACUUGAGGUCCGGUCCCUAAAUGUACUAUGGUAAACCUGUAAGGCAGUAUAUAAAUCUCCGGUCGGAUUUUCCGUAGAAAACUGAUGACCGACCUCGGAUAAAUAAUCACCUUUCUCUGAAGAACGACCACUAAGUCAGAAUAAAUAAUCCCUACGUUUUGUCGUCGAGGAGAACCCCUAGUCCGCUCGUUUAUCCGUUGGAUGAUUGGAGAGUAGUAGACAGAACAGAUCACUAUCGUACGUAUAGCCUCAAGAACGACGACGUCGAGUACGUCGUCGUUUAUUGUCGGUUAAAUGUUAUAAGAUAUUGGGUUCCCGAUCAGGAAGUCUUAAACACUAAGGAAAACGGUUCAUGGUCUUCCGUCAAAUACCGUUGGUUAAUAGAGAACCGUACGCCAAAUCUUACUACAAACUUUGGCUUCUUAGACCUUGUUCUUCCAUGUACCCAUGUUAUUGACCGUAUUCACUAGACCUAGGACAUUCCACCUUUUUGAGAGUCACCGCGUUAUAAGUCCAACGUACCCUACUUCGUCGUGGUUCACUUUCUGCGUGGUCCCAAAGGGAAACCCUGUAACUUGGACAGUAGCGAGGAAAGAAGUAGAUAGGGUGUGGUAAUAAGUGGCGUUUCACACGCUCCGUUGGACCCUACUAUCUACUACUAUGGAGACCUUACCUAUUACAAAAAUUCUCUUGGUACGGUACCGAACCACUCCUCUAUACGUUCUUUCUAUACUUAUGAGUCUUGUCGUAUCACGGACCAGAUUUGAAUCGAGUCAGUGAAGUCACCUACUUAUACGUCGUCUUGAACAGUGAUCGACCGUGUCAAUACGUUGGUCUCAACGAUUUGAGUAAUCGACCGUUUGUACACGUUUUAAACAGACGUCGACUAUAUAGUUCCGUUUAGUCGAAGGUCGGGGUUAAGGACGUUGUUUUAUUAUAGGUCAAGUCGUGGAGCAAUGAUGGAGUCGUUUUAGUUGUCCGACUUGUCAAUCGCUUUCGAUAUCCAUGUGGUUUGGUUGACCCUUUAUAAUACCAUGGUGUCUUCCAUCUAGUUCUAACGUUAAGACUGGUCUUCGUCGUAUGUCAAUGAGUUAGUCACGUUCCGUCGGUCCGUUUGAAUUUGCAGUGUGUCGGACUUGUACAACAGGUUCGAGUCAAGGUCGUUGGAGCUCACUAAGAGGUCCGAGUUGAGGUCGUUGUCGUUGGAGACCAGGUCUCAGUAUGUCAGAAAGUCCCUCCGGAAGUCGUUUAGGUCCAGGACGUCGUUGUCGUUGGUGUAAACGUCGUUGUCGAUGUUGUCGUUGUUGGAGUUGUAGUAGUCGUCCAAGUUGUGAGUCAUGUCCUCGUCGUCGUUUACUUCUGUGUUGGACAAGUACACAGGUCACUACACUUGUACUUAUGUGUUGAUAGACUAGUAGUUUACUUUGAAGUUAAUAAUUUCCGAGAUGUAAGUGUCGUUGUAGACUGGUACCUCGUCGUCUUUUACGAAAAACUAAACGUCGUUGUUCACCAUUUAAGAGUCAGUCUAGGAGUCGUUACACACGUUCCUCGAUGGGUUUGACAACCAAAAGUGUUGUCCUUGUGGUAGGUCAUACGUUGCGUUGUUUUCCGUGUCAGAGUGGUUGGCCAACUUCUAAGCGGAUCCCCAUGGUAAGGGCAACGUUUUAGUCUACAGCAAUGGAGGUACCCACGAUCGAGAAACUUACACCGACCAGCUUACGUCAGCCACUCCUGUCUAUUACAAGGCAGAAGCAGUUGUAGUGGUAGUGGUAGGUGACGGUGAUUAGUGCAAGAAAACGUCAGGUAGGGUUCAUCGAGGUUCUUGGUCUCAAAUGGUUGACGUCGUUUUUGUAGAGUUAGUAGACAACAGAACCCGGGAUGUUAACUUGUCCUUUACUUCAGAAUGGUCUCACAAUUCGGUUGUUAUUACUAAGGGUUCUACUAACUUGUUCCCGGUCGAUGACUUGCUCUGAUGUAUUUGUUGGGGGUGUACCUAAUGAACCUAUGUAGGAGGAGUCGAUGAAGCCAAACGGAAAGAGUCCGACUACCUAGUAACGUUGUUUUGAAAGGUAGAAGUAGGAAGCUAGUCGUAGUCGACAACUCCCUGUGUCGAGGUCUAUCACUCAAACUCUAAAGUCUAGGUUGUUUAUUGGAAGAUAAACCCCACUUGUAACUACCAGUUGACCCGAAUGGUGAAUUACGUCUACGGAACGAACGUUUAUCGUAACUUUUACUAUUUAAGUACCUACUCUACCGACCUUUACCGUAAAGAUUGAUGUAAAGUAGAUUCCUAAGAGUUGUUCUCAAUAGUAGAAGUUACUAAAGUGUAAGUGAACCUCAACGACUGUACCCUAAGUUAAGAUAUCUAAGACGUUAGUUACUAGGGAGUAAGGAUUUAUCUUUAAGGUCCCGUGGUCGAGGACGUGUAGUUGCGUACGCUUGAAUGUGGUUCCACGUGUUUGCACCACGACAUCCCUCUAGAUAGCUGUACUUGGCAAUAAGUCCCAUACUACUUGACUUCGUACUGUAACGCGCCUACAAACCAUAGCUCCCCGUCGAACCACUGGUUUCAUCUCAACCGACCUUUGAUCAUAUACUUCUAGUACUCUUCCUACAAGAUGAUCAACCACUACUGGGUACCCUCCUAAAAGACUUGACGCAUGCCACGUAGUCCUAAGAAAGAGGUGUCCUUCUUUACGUUUACUCUAACCAACCACUGAAACCUCUGCCGAAAGAUGGGUUGGUCCGGACGUCGUCGAGUCUACCCCCAGUUGGAACCAUUGACUCUAGUGUACAUACUUACUGGUUACAUCAAAGACCACGACGCCCCUGGCUGUAAAAAGAGGAGGGACAGUCAGAAUACUUAUGUCUACGACUCCUACCGUCAACUGCUAUUAAAUCCGAAACUUUAAGGUUCCAGCUCGCUUGUACUUAUAUUCCUUGUUAAGUAUGAAAAACAGAGACAACAUCAGAACAUCAGGAGUACAAAACAACCGGAACGUUAGAUGUAUCGGUUGGGUAUAAAAGACGACGGUACAUCAUAUACAGUAACAACGGACUACAUUGUCAAACGGUGUAUGAGUCUACAGUUGAUGACAUUGAACGCCAAGAUUUACUUCUUUAGCAUAAGAGGGGAACAAGUACU
RNAcentral lists this ribosomal RNA (4107 nucleotides) under Triticum aestivum (bread wheat). RNAcentral describes it as "partial small subunit ribosomal RNA". The record is from RNAcentral. Lineage: Eukaryota; Viridiplantae; Streptophyta; Magnoliopsida; Poales; Poaceae.